AGUUUUGACCACACUAGCUGAUUUCCUUCUGUUGUCCUUGAAUCCAUCCUCUGAAUUUCACUCGGUUCAGUAAUUCCUGCUACUUAAUUUUCUGCAGGUAGACCUGAAGGUUAGGAUCCCUUCCGGUGGCCACCAAGUCAGAGCAAGCUGAAGCUAACUGGGUGGUGCUAGACAGGAGGGUGCUUGCUCCAAGAUAAAGGACCUUGUACUGAUGCCGGGACUAUUUGUGCUUCUAAGGUGAGAUAUCCAUGCUAC
Molecule: long non-coding RNA, 255 nt
Organism: Lolium rigidum
Lineage: Eukaryota; Viridiplantae; Streptophyta; Magnoliopsida; Poales; Poaceae
Exons: 3
Source: RefSeq, a predicted model, not a curated record